This 495-nucleotide ribosomal RNA is filed under the name uncultured bacterium. RNAcentral describes it as "partial 16S ribosomal RNA". It matches the Rfam family "Bacterial small subunit ribosomal RNA", at positions 28 to 506 of the family's 1533-position model. The record is from RNAcentral.
GAUGAACGCUGGCGGCGUGCCUAAUACAUGCAAGUCGAGCGAACAGAUAAGGAGCUUGCUCCUUUGACGUUAGCGGCGGACGGGUGAGUAACACGUGGGUAACCUACCUAUAAGACUGGGAUAACUUCGGGAAACCGGAGCUAAUACCGGAUAACAUUUGGAACCGCAUGGUUCUAAAGUGAAAGAUGGUUUUGCUAUCACUUAUAGAUGGACCCGCGCCGUAUUAGCUAGUUGGUAAGGUAACGGCUUACCAAGGCGACGAUACGUAGCCGACCUGAGAGGGUGAUCGGCCACACUGGAACUGAGACACGGUCCAGACUCCUACGGGAGGCAGCAGUAGGGAAUCUUCCGCAAUGGGCGAAAGCCGACGGAGCAACGCCGCGUGAGUGAUGAAGGGUUUCGGCUCGUAAAACUCUGUUAUUAGGGAAGAACAAAUGUGUAAGUAACUGUGCACGUCUUGACGGUACCUAAUCAGAAAGCCACGGCUAACUACGU